RNAcentral lists this long non-coding RNA (1213 nucleotides) under Lepeophtheirus salmonis (salmon louse). RNAcentral's name for it is "uncharacterized LOC121116398". Lineage: Eukaryota; Metazoa; Arthropoda; Copepoda; Siphonostomatoida; Caligidae. The record is from RNAcentral.
GGAAUAUCUUCAUCAUGAAUGGACUCGAGCCAUCCCACGAUCUAAUUGAAAGCUAAGUUAAAAUGAUAAGAGUUUGUUCUAUUUAUUUCCAUUCCUACAACUAUGGAGUUACUUCUCAGGGCACCAAGGCGGAAAAUUCGUUCUACCCUCGACUCUAAGAAAGACUGAAACCCAAUGCGAUACCAUUAAAUUUUCCAGGUCUACCAACGUAUUAUUCGAGACAUGUUACUAAAGAGAAAUCAAAUAGGACGAGUUGUAUGGCCCCGUAUGAAGCUGAAGCUCACGGGCUAUAAUUGUAUAUCUGAUCUUUUUAAGCAGAGCGAAUCGAACCCAUUACAGAGCUAAAAAAUCAUAUUGAUAGAAUGCCUUUACCUUUUGAUUUAUUGAUUCAAUGGAAAGAAGAAUCCGUCUUCUUCUAUACUUUUGUAAUUUCCCCUUAUCCUCAUUUCAAAUUCAGUCUCUUAGUUAAAUCAAUUAACCUUUAAAGUGUAUAUUAAUUAAAGUCCUGAUACAUUUUUCUGAGUUGGCUCUACGAGCUAUCGUUAUUUCAACGAGUCAGUUGUGCAAUUUGAUCUACAAGACUAAAUCACAAUGUUCUGAAACAUUUAUGUCAAAUACAGACUUCGUCAUUGAGAAUUUAAUUGAUUUACUCGAUAGUAUUGUGGAAAAUAACGAUAGUAGCUUAAAACCGUCGUUAUAUUUUUGACUGAACAACUGGAAUUUUGUCAAUGCAAGAUGACCUAGGAAAUACUUCCAAAGCACGCUUGCAAUGGCUCUUAUUUGGAAAAGGGCAUCGACAUCUUUCUACAAACUUAUUUUGAGCGAAGGAAUACCGAAAUUACCAUCUAUUCGGUGGCUAACAAGGCUCUUAAGCUGCUCUAAAGCUGAUAUAGGACUCAAUCAUCAAACCAUAAAAUAUUUGGAACAAAGAGUAAAAAAUAUUAACGAUAGAGAAAUAAUUGUGACCAUUAUUAUGGAUGAAGUAUAUUGCUAAGCUGCAAGAAAUUCACGUUAAUUUAAUAAGAAAUUUGUAAGUAUACCUCUGGUAAAUUUUACGAUAUAGAACAUGGAGACGAUACACUAACCAAAAAUGUAUUGUGUGAUGAUCAAAAGCUUAACUAACAAAUAUGAAGACACUAUUGCAAUGGUACUUUCUACAAAAUUAGAUUAUAAAAUUCUGAGAAAAAUAUUCUACCAAGUUGUAGAAUCAAUA